This is a long non-coding RNA of Amphimedon queenslandica, 684 nucleotides long. RefSeq lists it as uncharacterized. Lineage: Eukaryota; Metazoa; Porifera; Demospongiae; Haplosclerida; Niphatidae. The record is from RefSeq and is a predicted model, not a curated record. The transcript has 4 exons.
AAACUGUAUUUUGGCCAUUUUUAGGAUAGUAAUGGGCAAAUUUGUUACCGCCCAGCACCCCUUGGUAAUGGUGGGCAGUAUUUCUAUAUUGAGCAUUCACUCAAAAAGUUUGGGUACAAAGGCAAGAGCAAUGGCCAAGGGGAGGUUGAGAUAACUGAUUGGAAGAAAGAAUCAAAAGGAUCAAGUAUUACACCUUAUGCUCUUGUUGAUGUGGAAACUGGAACAGCUUACGGAAUAAAAGUUCUCAUUGUGACACCAACUUCAAAGACAACCAGUUACUUUUUGUGUCCACAGCCUCCUUCUCCUGGUAGUAAUAUUCUCACUGUUAAAGACAGCAAGAUUGGCAUUAAAGGUGACGUGAAUGUUAGCUGGAAAGUUUAUAGGUGUAGCAAGUCUGAUCAGAUUUAUAUUUAUCCUGUUAAUGGUAAAUCACAUGUAUCAAGCUCACUCAGUAAUAAGAACAAGUCACUAGAGGGUGAAGGAAAAUUGAAGGGUCCUGAUAAACCUGGUGAAUAUGAGGUUCGUUAUUAUCCAGCAUGGCUCAAAGGUUCAAGCACUGGUCAUCGUCAUGAUAUCUACAUUGCAAGUGCUAGAUUUACUGUUGCUGUCUAAACUAGUAAUAGUAUAAGUUUAUUAGAUUUUAUAAUUUGUUACUUAACUGCUGCUUUAAAAACUAUUUUUAUA